RNAcentral lists this ribosomal RNA (304 nucleotides) under Salmonella enterica. Its description in RNAcentral is "partial 16S ribosomal RNA". It matches the Rfam family "Bacterial small subunit ribosomal RNA", at positions 141 to 447 of the family's 1533-position model. RNAcentral also lists the same sequence under 1 other name. The record is from RNAcentral. Lineage: Bacteria; Pseudomonadati; Pseudomonadota; Gammaproteobacteria; Enterobacterales; Enterobacteriaceae.
GGAUAACUACUGGAAACGGUGGCUAAUACCGCAUAACGUCGCAAGACCAAAGAGGGGGACCUUCGGGCCUCUUGCCAUCAGAUGUGCCCAGAUGGGAUUAGCUUGUUGGUGAGGUAACGGCUCACCAAGGCGACGAUCCCUAGCUGGUCUGAGAGGAUGACCAGCCACACUGGAACUGAGACACGGUCCAGACUCCUACGGGAGGCAGCAGUGGGGAAUAUUGCACAAUGGGCGCAAGCCUGAUGCAGCCAUGCCGCGUGUAUGAAGAAGGCCUUCGGGUUGUAAAGUACUUUCAGCGGGGAGG